AAACACCAGUGAGCUGAAGCCUGGUGCGGGUGCUGAAAGGAUUAAACGCCUUAUCACUGGUUUAAUAUCAGCUGAAGAUUUUCAUGCAAAGCACUGCAUUUGACCCCUGAAGUUUGAAGUGCAGUAGAACAACUUUGUUGAAGUCAACCUUCUUUCACAUAGCGUUUGAUGAGAAAAUUAACACUUCAAAUGUUGUGUCAGUUAUUGAGACAGACUGGUAAUGGGACGGAUAACAGCCUUUUAGGAACUAAAGCGGAAGACUGGAAGGGAAAACACUUCCCACGCAAGAGUAUAUGUUAUACCUUUACCUUUUCAACCUUCUAUACCAUAUUUUGUAGGUAAAUGUUAAUGCAUAGGAUUUCAAAAGAAUGAAAAAAAAAAGGUUAGCUGAUGCUUAGUUAUAUGUGUUGUUCAGUCUCAUAAUGAAGGAAUUUCGUGUGAUGAUGCUUCAUUAAUUCGUUUGAUGCAUCGGGCCUCAACUUCUUGUCUAAGAUGAUUUUUUGAGUUCUGCUAUUUAUCCCAGAGUUUGCUUUCAAGGCUGUUUAGGGUCCCAAGUUUUCAUUGACCCGUCCUGAUUGGGUUUGUAUUUGACUAAAAGAUUAACAAAACAGCAAUAUAUUUGACCAACUAUCUAAUUAAGUAUGCCUUUAAUUCGUGUAUAUUUUCCUCACUUUAUCAGAAGAAUUGUAGGUUCUGGUGUUUGGAUACAUGAUCUUACCAUACUUAGUUUUUAUUGACCAAUCAAUUUCAUUUGCUGAUUUCUUCAGGCUCUGCUUGGAUGAUGCUCUCUCGCCCUUUCAUAGAAUUUUGUUUAUGGGGAUGGGACAAUCUCCCGAGGAUAGUACUCAUGUAUUAUGCCAACUUUUUAUCUUCACCGGAAGGAUAUUUUCAUACUGUUAUCUGCAAUGCUGAGGAGUUCCGCAAUACUACCGUAAAUCACGAUCUUCAUUUCAUAUCUUGGGACAAUCCUCCAAAACAACACCCACAUUUCCUCAAUGUUGAUGACUACCAGAGGAUGGUCGACAGCAAUGCCCCCUUUGCCAGGAAAUUUGGUAGAAAUGAACCAGUUCUUGAUAAGAUUGACUCUGAGCUGCUAGGCCGCAUUGCUGAUGGAUUUGUGCCCGGUGGAUGGUUCAACAACAAAAGAAAUUCAAACUUAACUGCUCCAAAUCAUGCAGUGGCAAACACCAGUGAGCUGAAGCCUGGUGCGGGUGCUGAAAGGAUUAAACGCCUUAUCACUGGUUUAAUAUCAGCUGAAGAUUUUCAUGCAAAGCACUGCAUUUGACCCCUGAAGUUUGAAGUGCAGUAGAACAACUUUGUUGAAGUCAACCUUCUUUCACAUAGCGUUUGAUGAGAAAAUUAACACUUCAAAUGUUGUGUCAGUUAUUGAGACAGACUGGUAAUGGGACGGAUAACAGCCUUUUAGGAACUAAAGCGGAAGACUGGAAGGGAAAACACUUCCCACGCAAGAGUAUAUGUUAUACCUUUACCUUUUCAACCUUCUAUACCAUAUUUUGUAGGUAAAUGUUAAUGCAUAGGAUUUCAAAAGAAUGAAAAAAAAAAGGUUAGCUGAUGCUUAGUUAUAUGUGUUGUUCAGUCUCAUAAUGAAGGAAUUUCGUGUGAUGAUGCUUCAUUAAUUCGUUUGAUGCAUCGGGCCUCAACUUCUUGUCUAAGAUGAUUUUUUGAGUUCUGCUAUUUAUCCCAGAUCAAACCCCGGGUCAAGCCCCGAAAAAUUAGUAAAAUGACGCCGUUUCGAC
Molecule: long non-coding RNA, 1757 nt
Filed under: Citrus sinensis (sweet orange)
Lineage: Eukaryota; Viridiplantae; Streptophyta; Magnoliopsida; Sapindales; Rutaceae
Description: long non-coding RNA (CSIN_LNC001811)
Source: RNAcentral